Molecule: microRNA precursor, 164 nt
Filed under: Marmota monax (woodchuck)
Lineage: Eukaryota; Metazoa; Chordata; Mammalia; Rodentia; Sciuridae
Source: RNAcentral
GCCAUGUGUGGCGUGGAUAGCAUUUUAUGUUAUUGGUAGACUUCUUUAUUUUCUAACUUUUGAAAUAAUAUAUAUAUAUAUAUAUAUAUAUAUAUAUAAUUUCAAAAGAUAGAAAAUAAAGAAGUCUACCAAUAACAUAAAAUGCUAUCCGUGCCACACAUGGC